RNAcentral lists this ribosomal RNA (484 nucleotides) under uncultured bacterium. RNAcentral's name for it is "partial 16S ribosomal RNA". It matches the Rfam family "Bacterial small subunit ribosomal RNA", at positions 30 to 507 of the family's 1533-position model. The record is from RNAcentral.
AUUGAACGCUGGCGGCAGGCCUAACACAUGCAAGUCAAGCGGAUGAAGGGAGCUUGCUCCUGGAUUCAGCGGCGGACGGGUGAGUAAUGCCUAGGAAUCUGCCUGGUAGUGGGGGAUAACGUCCGGAAACGGGCGCUAAUACCGCAUACGUCCUGAGGGAGAAAGUGGGGGAUCUUCGGACCUCACGCUAUCAGAUGAGCCUAGGUCGGAUUAGCUAGUUGGUGGGGUAAAGGCCUACCAAGGCGACGAUCCGUAACUGGUCUGAGAGGAUGAUCAGUCACACUGGAACUGAGACACGGUCCAGACUCCUACGGGAGGCAGCAGUGGGGAAUAUUGGACAAUGGGCGAAAGCCUGAUCCAGCCAUGCCGCGUGUGUGAAGAAGGUCUUCGGAUUGUAAAGCACUUUAAGUUGGGAGGAAGGGCAGUAAGUUAAUACCUUGCUGUUUUGACGUUACCGACAGAAUAAGCACCGGCUAACUUCGUG